GGUCUUUGUACAUUAUGAUAUGUAUCUCCAUCAUUUGUGUCUUGUUCUAUCAUCUCUGCCAUUCAUUGCAGUUAUGUCACUUGGUCUAGUCUUCACAAAGGUAUUCUUGUCUCAGGUUACGGCCCUUCAUAUCAGCACAACCCCAUAAGAAGCUGGCUCUGGACCAGAUAGCCAACCCCCUGCCGGCGAUCUCUGAGGCGGCGCCCCACACUGUGCUGAUAGAGAGUGGGCCUGUGGUCUAUGAUGAUGUGGGAGAUGAGGAGGAUGAGGAAGAGCCCUGCAGCUGUUGGGAGGCAACGAGUAUGGAUGUGAUGACGAUGAUGGAUUCUAGCACUACUGGGUCUGGCCUGUUUCUCUGGACUGUCAUGCCACUGUAUCAGCCCUCCGACCCCUGUCCACAGACUUACACAUGACACAUGACUUGUAUGCUCUCAGGGAGGUUGGAGGUGAUGACGAGGGUCCGUUUCUCCUCAGGAUAUCUCCUUUAACUAGGAAAGAGGUUGUGGGUAGUAUUGUGCUGGAUCUAACAAAGAGACAUUAUGGUUAGUCUAUCUUCCUUCCUACAUUUCACAGGUCACUCAAGUAUAUGUCC
Long non-coding RNA from Oncorhynchus tshawytscha (Chinook salmon), 592 nucleotides. RefSeq lists it as uncharacterized. The record is from RefSeq and is a predicted model, not a curated record. NCBI's taxonomy places the organism in Eukaryota, Metazoa, Chordata, Actinopteri, Salmoniformes, Salmonidae. The transcript is spliced from 3 exons.